Molecule: long non-coding RNA, 327 nt
Organism: Osmia bicornis bicornis
Lineage: Eukaryota; Metazoa; Arthropoda; Insecta; Hymenoptera; Megachilidae
Exons: 2
Source: RefSeq, a predicted model, not a curated record
UCUUGUUUUAAUGCCGUAAAAUGUUAUCAUUUCCGGAAAGAAACGCUCGCUUCCGGCGAACAUGAAACCGAGGAACUUCAGUAUCUUCUAAUGAACGUCCGCUACGGUGAUACACGCGAAUAAGAUAGGACCAGUUGAGAGAAUGAAAAUGGCAAGUAAAAACAAUCUUUAACUCGUAGCUUUUUUUAUUUCAAAGAAUCUUAAUCACACUUGACGAUUCUCGAUCGCGAUCAAGAUGAAUCGAUAUACAGUAGCUCGCGUAACAGUCGAAGUUAGGUUAUAGCCGUUUUCAUUGUAACUGUUGAAUGGUCAACGAAAAUGGCGAAA